This 292-nucleotide ribosomal RNA is filed under the name uncultured bacterium. RNAcentral's name for it is "partial 16S ribosomal RNA". The record is from RNAcentral. RNAcentral also lists the same sequence under 1 other name.
GGACUACCCGGGUAUCUAAUCCUGUUUGCUCCCCAUGCUUUCGCACCUCAGUGUCAGUAUUAGGCCAGAUGGCUGCCUUCGCCAUCGGUAUUCCUCCAGAUCUCUACGCAUUUCACCGCUACACCUGGAAUUCUACCAUCCUCUCCCAUACUCUAGCCAACCAGUAUCGAAUGCAAUUCCCAAGUUAAGCUCGGGGAUUUCACAUUUGACUUAAUUGGCCACCUACGCGCGCUUUACGCCCAGUAAAUCCGAUUAACGCUUGCACCCUCUGUAUUACCGCGGCGGCUGGCAC